UACGUAGGGGGCAAGCGUUGUCCGGAAUCAUUGGGCGUAAAGAGCGUGUAGGCGGCUCGGUAAGUCCGCUCUGAAAGCCCGGGGCUCAACCCCGGGAGGCGGGCGGAUACUGUCGGGCUAGAGUCCGGAAGAGGCGAGUGGAAUUCCUGGUGUAGCGGUGAAAUGCGCAGAUAUCAGGAGGAACACCAAUAGCGAAGGCAGCUCGCUGGGACGUUACUGACACUGAGGCGCGAAAGCGUGGGGAGCGAACAGG
This 253-nucleotide ribosomal RNA is filed under the name uncultured bacterium. RNAcentral's name for it is "partial 16S ribosomal RNA". It matches the Rfam family "Bacterial small subunit ribosomal RNA", at positions 524 to 776 of the family's 1533-position model. The record is from RNAcentral.